CCCUUAGAUGUCCUGGGCGGCCCGCGCGCUACAAUGUCAGCUACUGAAGGUUAAUGCUUUGAAAGAGAGCGCGCUCUCCUUUUAAUUGCUCGCAUGCUGGGAUAAAUGAAUGCAAUUUUGUUUUGAACGAGGAAUUCCUAGUAGCCAUGUUUCGCUAGAAGAUGGCGAAUGCGUCCCUGCCCUUUGUACACACCGCCCGUCGCUCCUACCGAUGAGCGUUUUGGCGAAGACGGUUUGAGUAGCUGCGUAAUUUCGUGUUGUUGACUCCGGCAGUUUGAGCCUUCACGUUUAGAGGAAGGAGAAGUCGUAACA
RNAcentral lists this ribosomal RNA (312 nucleotides) under uncultured eukaryote. RNAcentral describes it as "partial 18S ribosomal RNA". It matches the Rfam family "Eukaryotic small subunit ribosomal RNA", at positions 1470 to 1796 of the family's 1831-position model. The record is from RNAcentral.